This 463-nucleotide ribosomal RNA is filed under the name uncultured bacterium. RNAcentral describes it as "partial 16S ribosomal RNA". It matches the Rfam family "Bacterial small subunit ribosomal RNA", at positions 28 to 507 of the family's 1533-position model. The record is from RNAcentral.
GACGAACGCUGGCGGCGUGCUUAACACAUGCCAGUCGAACGGUGAACCUCUUCGGAGGGGCUCCGUGGCGAACGGGUGAGUAACACGUGGGCAACCUGCCCCCGGCUCUGGGAUAACUCCAAGACAUCGGGGCUAAUACCGGAUGUUCACCGCUUCCCGCAUGCGUGGUGGUGAAAAGGGUUUCCCGCUUGGGCUUGUCCCGCGGGCUAUCAGCUUGUUGGUGGGGUAGUGGCCUACCAACGCCACGACGGAUAGCCGGCACGAGAGCGUGACCGGGCACAAUACGACUGCGAGACGGACCAGACGGGUACGGGAGGCAGCGGUCGGGAAUCUUGCGCAACAAGCGGAAGCCUGACACAACGACGCCGGGUGCGUGAAGACGGGUUAUGAGUUGAAAACCUCUUUCAGCGGGGACGAGGCGCAAUUGACGGUACCUGAAGAAGAAGCCACGGCUAACUACGUG